RNAcentral lists this ribosomal RNA (253 nucleotides) under uncultured bacterium. RNAcentral's name for it is "partial 16S ribosomal RNA". It matches the Rfam family "Bacterial small subunit ribosomal RNA", at positions 524 to 776 of the family's 1533-position model. The record is from RNAcentral.
UACGGAGGAUGCACGCGUUAUCCGGAAUUAUUGGGCGUCAAGCGUCCGCAGGUGGCACUUCAAGUCUGUCGUCAAAGACCGGGGCUUAACCCUGGAAAGGCGAUGGAAACUGAAAGGCUAGAGAGAGGUAGGGGUAGAGGGAAUUCCCAGUGUAGCGGUGAAAUGCGUAGAGAUUGGGAAGAACAUCGGUGGCGAAAGCGGCGUCCUGGACCAACACUGACACUGAUGAGCGAAAGCCAGGGGAGCAAACGGG